RNAcentral lists this ribosomal RNA (254 nucleotides) under uncultured bacterium. RNAcentral describes it as "partial 16S ribosomal RNA". It matches the Rfam family "Bacterial small subunit ribosomal RNA", at positions 524 to 777 of the family's 1533-position model. The record is from RNAcentral.
UACGAAGGGGGCUAGCGUUGCUCGGAAUUACUGGGCGUAAAGCGCACGUAGGCGGAUUGUUAAGUCGGGGGUGAAAUCCUGGAGCUCAACUCCAGAACUGCCUUCGAUACUGGCGCUCUUGAGUCCGGAAGAGGUGAGUGGAACUCCUAGUGUAGAGGUGGAAUUCGUAGAUAUUAGGAAGAACACCAGUGGCGAAGGCGGCUUACUGGUCCGGAACUGACGCUGAGGUGCGAAAGCGUGGGGAGCAAACAGGG